UUGCUUCAGCGGCUCACCUGCUAAAACUGGAAUGGUACAGAGAGGAUUAGCCUGGCCCCUGCAUAAGGAUGACAUGUAAAUUCAUGAAGCAUUUCGCAUUUCU
RNAcentral lists this small nuclear RNA (103 nucleotides) under Ochotona princeps (American pika). Lineage: Eukaryota; Metazoa; Chordata; Mammalia; Lagomorpha; Ochotonidae. The record is from RNAcentral.